UGAUGGAGCACGCCGCGUGAGUGAAGAAGGGUUUCGGCUCGUAAAACUCUGUUGUUAAAGAAGAACGUAUCUGAGAGUAACUGUUCAGAUAGUGACGGUAUUUAACCAGAAAGCCACGGCUAACUACGUGCCAGCAGCCGCGGUAAUACGUAGGUGGCAAGCGUUAUCCGGAUUUAUUGGGCGUAAAGGGAGUGCAGGCGGUUAUUUAAGUCUGAUGUGAAAGCCUUCGGCUUAACCGGAGAAGGGCAUCGGAAACUGGAUAACUUGAGUGCAGAAGAGGGUAGUGGAACUCCAUGUGUAGCGGUGGAAUGCGUAGAUAUAUGGAAGAACACCAGUGGCGAAGGCGGCUACCUAGUCUGUAACUGACGCUGAGGCUCGAAAGCAUGGGUAGCAAACAGGAUUAGAUACCCUGGUAGUCCAUGCCGUAAACGAUGAAUACUAGGUGUUAGGGGGUUUCCGCCCCUUAGUGCCGCAGCUAACGCAAUAAGUAUUCCGCCUGGGGAGUACGACCGCAAGGUUGAAACUCAAAGGAAUUGACGGGGACCCGCACAAGCGGUGGAGCAUGUGGUUUAAUUCGAAGCUACGCGAAGAACCUUACCAGGGCUUGACAUCUUCUGCUAAUCCGAGAGAUCGGACGUUCCCUUCGGGGACGGAAAGACAGGUGGUGCAUGGUUGUCGUCAGCUCGUGUCGUGAGAUGUUGGGUUAAGUCCCGCAACGAGCGCAACCCUUAUGAUUAGUUGCCAGCAUUAAGUUGGGCACUCUAAUGAGACUGCCGGUGACAAACCGGAG
Molecule: ribosomal RNA, 790 nt
Filed under: Furfurilactobacillus rossiae
Lineage: Bacteria; Bacillati; Bacillota; Bacilli; Lactobacillales; Lactobacillaceae
Description: bacterial SSU rRNA
Rfam family: Bacterial small subunit ribosomal RNA
Source: RNAcentral